UACGUAGGGUGCAAGCGUUGUCCGGAAUCAUUGGGCGUAAAGCGCGCGUAGGUGGCUUCGUAAGUCCGUUGUGAAAGUCAAAGGCUCAACCUUUGAAUGCCGAUGGAUACUGCGAAGCUAGAGUACGGAAGAGGCGAGUGGAAUUCCUGGUGUAGCGGUGAAAUGCGCAGAUAUCAGGAAGAACACCAAUGGCGAAGGCAGCUCUCUGGGACGGUACUGACGCUGAGACGCGAAAGCGUGGGGAGCGAACAGG
RNAcentral lists this ribosomal RNA (253 nucleotides) under uncultured bacterium. RNAcentral describes it as "partial 16S ribosomal RNA". It matches the Rfam family "Bacterial small subunit ribosomal RNA", at positions 524 to 776 of the family's 1533-position model. The record is from RNAcentral.